Molecule: ribosomal RNA, 253 nt
Filed under: uncultured bacterium
Lineage: Bacteria
Description: partial 16S ribosomal RNA
Rfam family: Bacterial small subunit ribosomal RNA
Source: RNAcentral
UACGGAGGGGGCUAGCGUUGUUCGGAAUUACUGGGCGUAAAGCGCACGUAGGCGGCUUUGUAAGUUAGAGGUGAAAGCCCGGGGCUCAACUCCGGAAUUGCCUUUAAGACUGCAUCGCUAGAAUUGUGGAGAGGUAAGUGGAAUUCCGAGUGUAGAGGUGAAAUUCGUAGAUAUUGGGAAGAACACCGGUGGCGAAGGCGGCGACCUGGUCCGAUACUGACGCUGAGGCGCGAAAGCGUGGGGAGCAAACAGG